This 1076-nucleotide long non-coding RNA is filed under the name Sparus aurata (gilthead seabream). Its description in RNAcentral is "lncRNA (ENSSAUG00010012352.1)". The record is from RNAcentral. Lineage: Eukaryota; Metazoa; Chordata; Actinopteri; Spariformes; Sparidae.
GCACACUGAUGUCGGUGUUUUCCUGUGAAGUGAAACUGAAGAGACGGAUGGAAGGAGAGGUGAUACAGAGGAUGGAAAGGUAAGGCAGGACCCAUUCUGCAUGUACAGACCAUCACAUACCAAUAAACACACAGUGACACACACACAAACACACACUGGUGAAUUGUGCAAUGGGGGAGGUGUCACUAAUACUAUAUAAAGCAUUAUUGGGAGUCUAAUCUCAUCAUAUUUUCUCUCAUCACCUGUACAGCAGCUCUCCUUCCAGUCACCCAGCAGGUAAGAUCACCAACUUUAACUCACCAUUAGAUGUUCAUACUGUAGACCUUUAAAUAUUACAAGUGAAAAAGUUGCAGAUUCAGUUGCACUUUAUCCUUUUUCACUUUGAUUUAGAACAGCGAUGUCAGCAGCAGCUUGGUCCAGGAGCAGAGGAGUGGCUGGUGUCAGAGCCACCACAGGCCUGUUCUCCAUCUUCACUCUGCUGUGUCUGGUUUGCCUCUCAAGUUCACUGAUUCACAAAGACAAGUUGGAAGAAAUGAAGCAAAAUCUUUAGGAAUAUCAAAGAAUAAUGGACAGUCUGAAGGUGAGUCAGUCAGUCAGUUUCACUGUGGCUCACAAUAAAAAAGCUUUAAAGUCAUUUCAGUGAUAUAUACUCUAACCCAGGGGUGGGGAACCUUUUUCCUAUCGAGGGCCAUUUCAAUUUUCAUACCGUCCCUCAGGGGCCAAGACAUUUUUUUUUUUAAAGGUAAGCAGCUCACAACACAAUUGUUAUGGCCUUUUUUAGCUUCAUUGCAAUAACAUAAAUAUCAUGACUAUUAAUUAAUGUUUUAGCCAAUUUUAAUUUCAUCCAUCUCAGUGUAUCUUAGUGUUUUAAUCCAAUUAAUUGUCUAUACAUGUUGGUUUUUAUAUUUAUUGAUGUUUAGCAGUUUAAGCAGUAGAUAAGAUAUAAUGUAGCUAAAAUGAUUCUGAUGUGAAAUAAAAACAAAUCAGCCCUCUCAAAUCUCAUAUAUCAGCUUAAAAUUACUCGAAAAUGACAGAUCUGAGUUGUCUUAUAUAAGGUUGUCUACUGUCAAUCUGAG